This 76-nucleotide transfer RNA is filed under the name Ralstonia pickettii. RNAcentral describes it as "tRNA-Thr". It matches the Rfam family "tRNA". From Rfam's summary of the family: Transfer RNA (tRNA) molecules are approximately 80 nucleotides in length. Their secondary structure includes four short double-helical elements and three loops (D, anti-codon, and T loops). RNAcentral also lists the same sequence under 56 other names. Lineage: Bacteria; Pseudomonadati; Pseudomonadota; Betaproteobacteria; Burkholderiales; Burkholderiaceae. The record is from RNAcentral.
GCCACCUUAGCUCAGACGGCAGAGCGAUUCACUCGUAAUGAAUAGGUCAAGGGUUCGAUUCCCUUAGGUGGCUCCA